This is a long non-coding RNA of Cryptomeria japonica (Japanese cedar), 1333 nucleotides long. RefSeq lists it as uncharacterized. NCBI's taxonomy places the organism in Eukaryota, Viridiplantae, Streptophyta, Pinopsida, Cupressales, Cupressaceae. The record is from RefSeq and is a predicted model, not a curated record. The transcript has 4 exons.
UUUAAAUUUCACGUCGAGAUGGGUGCAAUUUUGGGGGCUGGGUAGACGUUGCCAUUCUCGGGGGCCCCCGUCGAAACGGCAAGUUCCAUCCACCGAUGAACCCUGCGCCUCGAUCGCAUCGCAGAAAUAUUUGUAGGGCCGAUCUCGAUCACCAAGAUCAUAAUACUCUAGAAGAGGGGGAGGCGGGGUUUUAAGGCGGUCGAGAGCCCUAUCUAUAGUGGGACCAUCGCAACCACAGGAUGUCAGGGUUGGUUCUCGCUCUCAUAUCUGGUCGUUCAAUUACAUCACAGACCCUCCACAAAUCAUUUUUCUUCAUCUUUUCGAGCUUAUCCUUCAAUUUCAAUUUUCCCUUGAGUUUAUUCUCCUCUUCUUCACCCCAAACAAACCCUGAAACCUGCAAAACAUUCCUCUUAAAAUGAUGAGCCUUUCCGCGCCUUCCGUAAAGAAGAUUGUGAAUGAUUGCCAGCAUUUCAUCACCUCUGGUGAGCUUGGAUAGUUUAUAUGCCACACUUGGAAUGUUCUUAAGCUGUGUGCCUUUGCCCUGUUCAAUGAUGAAUUCUCUGGGGCUAUCCCUAAUGGUGGAAGGAUCAAAGGUUUUUACAGGAUUCUUUUCUCUCACAGGCCGAUCCAGCGGAGUAGUAGGCGUUGAAAGUAAAUCCUCGGUUUUCUCUUCUCUGAAUUCUUCAGCCAUAUCGAGAUUCGAACCUGUGACUUAAGGUUCAAACCCUGGAAUUAAAUACCUCUUAUAGCUUCGUUCAACGAAUCGGCAUCAAAUAUGGACAUACAUGUUCGAAUUCAAAAUUUAUGAAGAGGCAAAACGGAGGAUCAGAAAAUAGCAACCAAAUGAGAUCAAAUUCCCUCUUCCAGGGAGCUAUUGGGUCACUUGAUUACAGUAAGGAAGAAAGGAGUGCUCUUGCCAUUAAGUGCCGAGUUCAUCCAUCAAAGUUUGGGAACUCAGACCGACAUAAACUAAUGAGAUUCAUGAAUAUAUGUUGAAUAAGGCGACUCUUGCACCUGAACUUAGUCCUAUGACUAACAACCAAGAUGCCUCACAACCUGUAACAACUGAGGUUGAAGACCAUGCAAAUGCAAUUACUGUGACAUCUAUAUAACAUUUGCAAGCAGAAGAGAUGAUUGGGGAUGUACAUGAAUCACAUUUGAAUCUUGAUAUAACUCCCCCAAUAGCAAGAACCAGUGCAGAGUUGAGAUCACAUACAAAGCCAACAGUUAGAUCAGCUACAAAACUAGGAGUUCUAAAUGCAGAUGUAGCAAACAUGGAUCAUGAAAUGAGGAAUAACCUAAUAAUUAAUAGACAACAUAGAUAUCCUGAUGA